This 24-nucleotide microRNA is filed under the name Plutella xylostella (diamondback moth). Its description in RNAcentral is "pxy-miR-8525". The record is from miRBase by way of RNAcentral. Lineage: Eukaryota; Metazoa; Arthropoda; Insecta; Lepidoptera; Plutellidae.
UCCUGUAUGUGAACAACAUAACUG